RNAcentral lists this ribosomal RNA (466 nucleotides) under Vreelandella stevensii. RNAcentral describes it as "partial 16S ribosomal RNA". It matches the Rfam family "Bacterial small subunit ribosomal RNA", at positions 338 to 795 of the family's 1533-position model. Lineage: Bacteria; Pseudomonadati; Pseudomonadota; Gammaproteobacteria; Oceanospirillales; Halomonadaceae. The record is from RNAcentral.
CCUACGGGAGGCAGCAGUGGGGAAUAUUGGACAAUGGGCGAAAGCCUGAUCCAGCCAUGCCGCGUGUGUGAAGAAGGCCUUCGGGUUGUAAAGCACUUUCAGUGGGGAAGAAAGCCUUGGGGCUAAUACCCUCGAGGAAGGACAUCACCCACAGAAGAAGCACCGGCUAACUCCGUGCCAGCAGCCGCGGUAAUACGGAGGGUGCGAGCGUGUAAUCGGAAUUACUGGGCGUAAAGCGCGCGUAGGCGGUCUGAUAAGCCGGUUGUGAAAGCCCCGGGCUCAACCUGGGAACGGCAUCCGGAACUGUCAGGCUAGAGUGCAGGAGAGGAAGGUAGAAUUCCCGGUGUAGCGGUGAAAUGCGUAGAGAUCGGGAGGAAUACCAGUGGCGAAGGCGGCCUUCUGGACUGACACUGACGCUGAGGUGCGAAAGCGUGGGUAGCAAACAGGAUUAGAUACCCCUGUAGUC